CAGGUACAGCGGGAAGCCAGGCGGCGACGCCGAGCGGAACCCGAAAACCUGUCUCAGUUCGGAUCGGAGUCUGCAACCCGACUCCGUGAAGCUGGAUUCGCUAGUAAUCGCGCAUCAGCCAUGGCGCGGUGAAUACGUUCCCGGGCCUUGUACACACCGCCCGUCAAGCCAUGGAAGCCGGGGGUGCCUGAAGUGUGCAGCCGCAAGGAGCGCCCUAAGGUAAAACCGGUGACUGGGGCUAAGUCGUAACAAGGUAGC
RNAcentral lists this ribosomal RNA (258 nucleotides) under uncultured bacterium. RNAcentral's name for it is "partial 16S ribosomal RNA". It matches the Rfam family "Bacterial small subunit ribosomal RNA", at positions 1234 to 1500 of the family's 1533-position model. The record is from RNAcentral.